GUGCUUGCUCCCACAGCACACAUACUAAACUUGGAACAAUACACAGAUUAGCACCGCCCUGCGCAAGGAUGACGUGCAAAUUCGUGAAGCAUUCCAUAUUAAA
This 103-nucleotide small nuclear RNA is filed under the name Meriones unguiculatus (Mongolian gerbil). Lineage: Eukaryota; Metazoa; Chordata; Mammalia; Rodentia; Muridae. The record is from RNAcentral.